Molecule: ribosomal RNA, 253 nt
Filed under: uncultured bacterium
Lineage: Bacteria
Description: partial 16S ribosomal RNA
Rfam family: Bacterial small subunit ribosomal RNA
Source: RNAcentral
UACGUAGGUGGCAAGCGUUGUCCGGAAUUAUUGGGCGUAAAGCGCGCGCAGGCGGUUUUUUAAGUCUGAUGUGAAAGCCCACGGCUCGACCGUGGAGGGUCAUUGGAAACUGGAGAACUUGAGUACAGAAGAGGAAAGCGGGAUUCCACGUGUAGCGGUGAAAUGCGUAGAGGUGUGGAGGAACACCAGUGGCGAAGGCGGCUUUCUGGUCUGUAACUGACGCUGAGGCGCGAAAGCGUGGGGAGCAAACAGG